AACGAACGCUGGCGGCAGGCCUAACACAUGCAAGUCGAGCGAGCAUUUCGGUGCUAGCGGCGGACGGGUGAGUAACGCGUGGGAACGUGCCCUUUUCUGCGGAAUAGUCCUGGGAAACUGGGGGUAAUACCGCAUACGCCCUUUUGGGGAAAGAUUUAUCGGAGAAGGAUCGGCCCGCGUUGGAUUAGGUAGUUGGUGGGGUAAUGGCCCACCAAGCCGACGAUCCAUAGCUGGUUUGAGAGGAUGAACAGCCACACUGGGACUGAGACACGGCCCAGACUCCUACGGGAGGCAGCAGUGGGGAAUCUUAGACAAUGGGGGCAACCCUGAUCUAGCCAUGCCGCGUGAGUGAUGAAGGCCUUAGGGUUGUAAAGCUCUUUCAGCUGGGAAGAUAAUGACGGUACCAGCAGAAGAAGCCCCGGCUAACUCCGUG
Molecule: ribosomal RNA, 433 nt
Filed under: uncultured bacterium
Lineage: Bacteria
Description: partial 16S ribosomal RNA
Rfam family: Bacterial small subunit ribosomal RNA
Source: RNAcentral